Molecule: ribosomal RNA, 450 nt
Filed under: uncultured bacterium
Lineage: Bacteria
Description: partial 16S ribosomal RNA
Rfam family: Bacterial small subunit ribosomal RNA
Source: RNAcentral
GUGGGGAAUAUUGGACAAUGGGCGAAAGCCUGAUCCAGCCAUGCCGCGUGUGUGAAGAAGGUCUUCGGAUUGUAAAGCACUUUAAGUUGGGAGGAAGGGCAGUAAGUUAAUACCUUGCUGUUUUGACGUUACCGACAGAAUAAGCACCGGCUAACUUCGUGCCAGCAGCCGCGGUAAUACGAAGGGUGCAAGCGUUAAUCGGAAUUACUGGGCGUAAAGCGCGCGUAGGUGGUUUUGUAAGUUGGAGGUGAAAUCCCCGGGCUCAACCUGGGAACUGACUCCAAAACUGCAUGACUAGAGUGCGGUAGAGGGUAGUGGAAUUUCCUGUGUAGCGGUGAAAUGCGUAGAUAUAGGAAGGAACACCAGUGGCGAAGGCGACUACCUGGACUGAUACUGACACUGAGGUGCGAAAGCGUGGGGAGCAAACAGGAUUAGAUACCCGAGUAGUCC